Molecule: ribosomal RNA, 221 nt
Filed under: Klebsiella aerogenes
Lineage: Bacteria; Pseudomonadati; Pseudomonadota; Gammaproteobacteria; Enterobacterales; Enterobacteriaceae
Also listed under: 5 other names
Description: partial 23S ribosomal RNA
Rfam family: Bacterial large subunit ribosomal RNA
Source: RNAcentral
GGUUAAGCGACUAAGCGUACACGGUGGAUGCCCUGGCAGUCAGAGGCGAUGAAGGACGUGCUAAUCUGCGAAAAGCGUCGGUAAGGUGAUAUGAACCGUUAUAGCCGGCGAUGUCCGAAUGGGGAAACCCAGUGUGAUUCGUCACACUAUCGUUAACUGAAUACAUAGGUUAACGAGGCGAACCGGGGGAACUGAAACAUCUAAGUACCCCGAGGAAAAGA